Molecule: ribosomal RNA, 266 nt
Filed under: unidentified marine bacterioplankton
Lineage: Bacteria
Description: partial 16S ribosomal RNA
Rfam family: Bacterial small subunit ribosomal RNA
Source: RNAcentral
UAGAAGCUUUCGGGCUUUGAGACCGGCGCACGGGUGCGUAACGCGUAUGCAAUCUGCCUUACACUAAGGGAUAGCCCAGAGAAAUUUGGAUUAAUACCUUAUAGUAUAUUGAUGUAGCAUUACAUUAUUAUUAAAGAUUUAUCGGUGUAAGAUGAGCAUGCGUCCCAUUAGCUAGUUGGUAUGGUAACGGCAUACCAAGGCAAUGAUGGGUAGGGGUCCUGAGAGGGAGAUCCCCCACACUGGUACUGAGACACGGACCAGACUCC